AUUAAGAGUAUAUGGCGGAUGCCUUGACAUAAGAGAACGAUGAAGGACGUAGCAGCCUGCGAUAAGCUUCGGUGAGGUGGCAAGCAACCCUUGACCCGAAGAUUUCCGAAUGGGGAAACCUCCCCGGUUGUAGACCGGGGGUCCGCUGGCUGAACACAUAAGCCAGUGAGACGAUUACCCGGUGAAUUGAAACAUCUUAGUAGCCGGAGGAAAAGAAAAAAAGCCUGAGCAAUCAGGAAUAUUCCGUGAGUAGUGGCGAGCGAAAACGGAGGAGUCUAAACCGAUUUAACAUCCCUAGUUGAAGCGAGCUGGAAAGCUCCGCCAGAGAAGGUGAAAGCCCUGUAACAGCAAAAGGGGUUAUUGCUCUGCGGCAUAUCUCUUAAGUACUGCGGGACUCGUGAAAUCCCGUGGGAAGCCGGGUCGACUAUGACCCAAGACUAAAUAUCUCUUAUGAUCGAUAGUGAACAAGUACCGUGAGGGAAAGGUGAAAAGCAGCCCGGUGAGGGCGGUGAAAUAGUACCUGAAACCAUAUACUUACAAGGAGUUGGAGCCCCGGUUCGCCGGGGUGACAGCGUGCCUAUUGAAGAAUGAGCCAACGAGUUUGUUCUAUGUGGCUUGACUAAGUUCCGUUUGGAAUGGAGUCGAAGUGAAAGCGAGGGUUAAUAGCCCGUAUCCACUUAUUUUGCAGAUACCAGGCCUUCUGGUGGCUGCAAAAUAACGUGGAAUGUCGCAUGGACAAGACCCGAAGCCGGGUGAUCUAGCCAUGGCCAGGUUGAAGUAGUACGAAAGUACUAUGGAGGACCGAACCCACAAGCCGUUCAAUACUUGGGGAUGAGCUGUGGCUGGCGGAGAAAUUCCAAUCGAACUCGGCAAUAGCUGGUUCUCCUCGAAAUAGCUUUAGGGCUAGCGUCGGAUGCUGACUACUGGGGGUAGAGCACUGAAUGAGACAGGGGCCGCAAGGUACCCUUCUUAACCAAACUCCGAAUACCAGUAGGUGAAGUCCGGCAGUCAGACUAUGGGGGCUAAGCUUCAUCAGUCAAAAGGGAAACAGCCCAGACCGCAAUCUAAGGUCCCAAAAUAUAUGCUAAGUGUAAAAGGUGGUGUCGCGACUGCGACAACUAGGAGGUUGGCUUAGAAGCAGCCAUCCUUUAAAGAUAGCGUAAUAGCUCACUAGUCUAGUUGUCUCGCGCCGAAAAUGUACCGGGGCUAAGCAUAUUACCGAAGAUGCGGGCCAGCUGGCGGUAGAGGAGCAUUCUAUACGCGCAGAAGCCGAAUUGUGAAGUUUGGUGGAGCUUAUAGAAGAGAGAAUGUUGGCAUGAGUAGCAAAAAGGCGGGUGAGAACCCCGCCCACCGUAAGUCUCAGGGUUCCUGGGCAACGUAAAUCGUCCCAGGGUUAGUCGGUCCUAAGGCGAGGCCUCUGUAGUGGGGGCGUAGUCGAUGGAUUAGCUGGUCAAUAUUCCAGCACUGCUGCAGUUUUCCGAUGGGGAGACGCAGUUCUAGAGUUUAUACGUGCUAUGGUAUGUACGUUGUUUGUUUUAAAGCGCGAUCCAGGCAAAUCCGGAUCAACAGCGCGGAGAAAUCGACUAAAGAUGAAGCCUCGGCGGAUUCAAAUAAGCAAAAGAGCUGCCUAGAAAAACCUCUAGGGCUAAGGCUGCAGCAACCGUACCGCAAACCAACACAGGUAGACGAGGCGAGUAGCCUCAGGUGAACGAGAGAAUCUUCGUUAAGGAACUCGGCAAAACAGCGGCCGUAAUUUAGAGAUAAGGCCUGCCCAUAGCAAUAUGGGCCGCAGCUAAAGAAGCCCGAGCGACUGUUUAUCAAAAACACAGCUCCCUGCUAACUCGUAAGAGGAUGUAUAGGGGGUGACGCCUGGCCAGUGUCCGAACGUUAAGGGGAGAGGUUAGACCUUCGGGUUGAAGCUUUGAACUGAAGCGCGGAUGAACGCCGGCCGUAACUAUAACGGUCCUAAGGUAGCGAAAUUCCUUGUCAGGUAAGUUCUGACCUGCACGAAUGGCGUAACGACUUGGGUACUGUCUCAACGAAGAACUCGGCGAAAUUGCAAGACGAGUAAAGAUGCUCGUUAACCAUAGCUGGACGAAAAGACCCCGUGAAGCUUUACUAUAGCUUAAUAUUGGGUUAUGACUAUGCAUGUUCAGAAUAGGUGGGAGCCGCAAGGCAACAGUGAGAUACCACCCUUGUAUAUUUGUAACCCUAACCCUCAGGCCUUGAAUCAGGUCAGGGGACAGUAUUUGGUGGGUAGUUUGUCUGGGGCGGAUGCCUCCCAAAGAGUAACGGAGGCGUUUACAAAGGUUGGCUAUCCCGGAAUGGAAACCCGGGAGAUAGUGUAAAACCAGCAAGUCGAGCAGUUGCGAAAGCAGAACUUAGUGAUCCGACCGUUCGAUAUAGGACGGCGGAAGCUCAUCGGAUAAAAGCUACUCCGGGGAUAACAGGCUAGUCACGCCCAAGCGUCCACAGCGACGGCGUGGUUCGGCACCUCGAUGUCGGCUCGUCGCAUCCUGGGGGUGAAGAAGCUCCCAAGGGUUGGGCUGUUCGCCCAUUAAAGCGGCACGCGAUCCACUAUGGUCGUGGAAACUUGAGAAGGCUCUUCCCUAGUACGAGAGGACCGGGAAGGACGAAGCUCUAGUGUGCCGGCUGUCCCACCAGGGGCAUUGCCGGGUAGCUACCUUCGGUUUGGAUAAGCGCUGAAGGCAUAUAAGCGCGAAGCCGUCUUCAAGAUUAGGUUUCAUAGAGUCGUCGGAGAACACGACGUUAAUAGGCUCUAGGUGUAAGUGCAGUAAUGCAUUCAGCCGAGGAGUACUAAUCACUCAAAUGAUUU
RNAcentral lists this ribosomal RNA (2836 nucleotides) under Candidatus Falkowbacteria bacterium GW2011_GWF2_38_1205. Its description in RNAcentral is "bacterial LSU rRNA". It matches the Rfam family "Bacterial large subunit ribosomal RNA". Lineage: Bacteria; Candidatus Falkowiibacteriota. The record is from RNAcentral.